CUCAUUGGGUGCGUGAGAAGGGAAGGGUGGAUCCUAAAAGGUAAUACUGAGCCUUCAUUCAAACUAAAAGGCUGGAAGGGAGGCAGCUGCCUUUGUUUGCCAUGGAUGGGUAGGGGCUGCACUGAGCAGCACCGGUGUUCUUCAUCCGGCUGCACCCCCAACAGAGCUCUUUCUUCCCCAGAUCCCUUUUACAGUUGGAUUCUCCCUCUUGGAUCUGGCUCUGCCUUAGUCCGACCUAGAGGGAUCAGCUUCGCCCACGCCCACUCUCACCCGGAACCUUUCAUCUCUUAUUGAAGCCUUUUAGGCCCAUUGGGAUGUUCAUUAGAACUCUGAAAACUACAGUUCUCCCCUUUAUGAGGACUGCACCACAGCUCGCCCUCUCCUGGGUUCCGGUAAGAAGAGAUUCCAAUACCACUCUUUUUUCAGAAUUCAGAAAGGCAAGAGACCACCUUACUGAGCUUCAAACUGGGGCUGGGAACGCUGCCAUGAAUUGGGCUUGGUCUGUCUGAAGGGAGCCACCUUUUCGACAAUCCUUAGACUUCUUUUGCCUGUUGGAAUUACACCUUGGAUCGUGGCGAAGUCUAUAGAGGUCAGAUUAAGAAGAACCAAAGCAGAAUAAACGUAGAACCCGAUGCUGAGUUCACGAGUGAGGACGACCUCUUCCUAUAUGCUUUGCUAUACCCUGCGUUUUGAACAUUAAGGACGAGAUAGGAGGCCCAUAAUGUUUCUUCUUGCUUUAAUCCUGUCGUGGCAACGUUGACUUCCAGUAAGAAAGCCUGGUUGCAGAGUGAGCCCAUGGGACAGCCCUCUGAAAUUAUACUGCUUACAACCAUGCUGAGUCUGCAAGGACUUCGUCCAAGCCUUUCCGUCCAGGACCUCAAACAGAUCCAAUCACAAGAAGAGAGAUUUCAGGAAAGAGAAAAUUAUUCCUAUCAUCGGGGUUUUUGAAGAACAUGAAAUGACUGGGAAAAUAAUCAUGUUAAGUGGAAAAAAAAAAGAAAUCUAUCUGUUGUAAUUUUCAAAUAAUUUUUAAAUAAAUUUGAAAAAUUAAGAGAACUAUAUAUAUAAUACAUUCCUAAUCUUGUGAAAAAUAUAUAUGCAUUAAUAUUAUUGAAAGAAAUAUAUCAAAAGGUGAACAGCAAUUAUCACCAAUCUAGAUUAUGAGAUUAGGAGUGAUUUUUUUUCUUUGUCCUAUACUAUUUAAUAUUUUCUACCAUUAAAAUAUUCUGAUUUUCUAAUUAGAAUAGUACGUUAGACAAAGAAGGACAAAUAUCACAUGAACUCUCACUCUCUUAUGGAACAGAUCUUGUGGAAUCUAAAAAAGUUGAACUCAUAGAAAAAGAGGAAAAUGAUGGUUACCAGUUAGAAAAAAGGAAUAAGUUCAAGAGAUCUAUUGUACACCAUGGUCAAUAUAGUUAACAAUAUAUUUUAUACUUUAAAAUUGCUAAGGUAGUAGAUUUUAAGUGUUCUCACCACACAAAAAAAUAAGUAUGUGAAAAGCAUAUGGUAAUUAGCUUGAUUUAACCACGCCACAGUGCAUACAUAUGUCAAAACAUCAUGUUGUAUACUAUAAAUAUAUACACUUUUUGUCAAUUUUAAACAGGUUAUAAAAAAACAUGUUAUUGUUGAUAAUUAUGAAAAAUUUUAAUGAUGUGGAAAUGUGUACAGUAUAAUGAUAAAUGAAAGAGUAGUAAAAAUCCUUAUAAAAUAUAA
RNAcentral lists this long non-coding RNA (1713 nucleotides) under Homo sapiens (human). RNAcentral describes it as "HSALNT0377803". The record is from RNAcentral. Lineage: Eukaryota; Metazoa; Chordata; Mammalia; Primates; Hominidae.